RNAcentral lists this ribosomal RNA (439 nucleotides) under uncultured prokaryote. RNAcentral describes it as "bacterial SSU rRNA". It matches the Rfam family "Bacterial small subunit ribosomal RNA", at positions 355 to 796 of the family's 1533-position model. The record is from RNAcentral.
UCGAGAAUCUUCCUCAAUGGGCGAAAGCCUGAAGGAGCGAUGCCGCGUGCGGGAUGAAGGCCCUCGGGUUGUAAACCGCGAAAGUUGGGAGGAAGGGUCUGUGAAGAGCAGGCCUUGACCGAUCUUCAGUAAGGACGGGCUAAGUUCGUGCCAGCAGCCGCGGUAACACGAACCGUCCAAACGUUAUUCGGAAUCAUUGGGCUUAAAGGGUGCGUAGGCGGCGCGUUAAGUCGGGUGUGAAAUCCCUCAGCUCAACUGAGGAACUGCGCCCGAUACUGGCGUGCUCGAGGGAGACAGGGGUAAGCGGAACUGAUGGUGGAGCGGUGAAAUGCGUUGAUAUCAUCAGGAACACCGGUGGCGAAAGCGGCUUACUGGGUCUCUUCUGACGCUGAGGCACGAAAGCUAGGGUAGCGAACGGGAUUAGAUACCCGCGUAGUCC